This is a long non-coding RNA of Ornithodoros turicata, 974 nucleotides long. RefSeq lists it as uncharacterized. Lineage: Eukaryota; Metazoa; Arthropoda; Arachnida; Ixodida; Argasidae. The transcript is spliced from 3 exons. The record is from RefSeq and is a predicted model, not a curated record.
AAGUCGCAGCUGGAUUCAACUCCCUCUCAUGCAACGUCACAUGUGACGUGGUUAUGGUAUUUAUGGUGGCAGGUCGCCCAUUGGGCGACCGAAGCGCAAUGCACAAUACAGUCGGAGGUGUAUGCGCUUUGCGCUUGGAAGUUGUCACGCGCGACGUCGUAAUGUCUGAUAGCAAAUUUAGCGAUAGUGACGGGUCCCUGUCACUAAGCGGUGAAGAUGAGCUCAUCGGCGCCGAUCGAUUGAAGAACCGGGGACGUCGAUGAACCUUUAGCUACUGACCCUUUGCCACAACAACGUGGUUAGCCAGUGAAAGUAGUGGAUGAUUCGGAAUCGAUUGACGGGUGUGUGUGUAGCCACUGCUCGCCAAUACCAGCGUUGUGCGCACAAUCCGGAACCUGUUUCGAUCCGUCACGUACACAUGGUGUUGUAUUCUCCUGAAAGGUGUUGUAAGACUUGGGCAUUUCGUCAUAUGUAUCAGAACUUGGAUAGACUGCUGAAAAAAGCUGCUCUCUCUAUCCAUUCCCGCAAGCGGCAGGAGGUUGUCAACGUGAUAAGUGAAGGCUUUCCAUUCAUGUCAUUACACCUGGAGCAAAUGACAAAAUCAAGGAUAACCUGAUCUACGUCAACGUCUUCAAUUACCCCUGGCCUAUGAAAAAAAAAGCCCUUUUCAGGACCAUCCAACAUAUCUGCAUCAAAGACCAUGCUUCUGCAUCGAAUAAGCCCUUAUCAUCAUUGAUGAUUAUAAUAUUUCAUAUCAAAAAUACCUAGACGUGCAUUACGAAUGUGCAAGAUGGAACAGCCUUAUUUUUGCUCAUGUUACACCGGUGUGUUCAUGAGCCCAUACUGGCUCACAUUUCGAUUCGAUAUCAGGGGUUGCAAACUAACAUGAUCAGCACGUUGAAUACGAAACAUGUGUAAAUGUUUAAAAAAUAUGAAAAAUACCUAGAUGUGCACGACAAAUUUGUAAGAUGGAA